Molecule: ribosomal RNA, 620 nt
Filed under: uncultured Verrucomicrobiota bacterium
Lineage: Bacteria; Pseudomonadati; Verrucomicrobiota
Description: bacterial SSU rRNA
Rfam family: Bacterial small subunit ribosomal RNA
Source: RNAcentral
UAGCCUGGUAGCAAUACUAGGUUGAGCCAGUGGCGAACGGGUGCGUAACACGUGAGUCAUCUGCCUGAAAGUGGGGGAUAGCUCGCCGAAAGGCGAAUUAAUACCGCAUGUGCCCCGAAGCAAUUCGGGGUAAAGCCGGGGCAACCUGGCGCUUUUAGAUGAGCUCGCGGCCUAUCAGCUUGUUGGUAAGGUAACGGCUUACCAAGGCUUCGACGGGUAGCUGGUCUGAGAGGACGACCAGCCACACUGGAACUGAGACACGGUCCAGACACCUACGGGUGGCAGCAGUCGAGAAUUUUUCUCAAUGGGGGAAACCCUGAAGGAGCGACGCCGCGUGGAGGAUGAAGGCUUUCGGGUUGUAAACUCCUGUCAUUUGGGAACAAUACCUUACGUUAACUGCGUGGAGGUUCGAUAGUACCAGAAGAGGAAGAGACGGCUAACUCUGUGCCAGCAGCCGCGGUAAUACAGAGGCCUCGAGCGUUGUUCGGAUUCAUUGGGCGUAAAGGGCGCGUAGGCUGCGGGGCAAGUCGGGUGUGAAAUCUCAGAGCUCAACUCUGAAACUGCACUCGAUACUGCUUUGCUAGAGGACUGGAGAGGAGAUUGGAAUUCACGGUGUAGCA